CCUACGGGAGGCUGCAGUGAGGAAUAUUGGUCAAUGGCCGUAAGGCUGAACCAGCCAAGUCGCGUGAAGGAAGAAGGAUCUCUGGUUUGUAAACUUCUUUUACCGGGGCAUAAAUGUAUCUACGUGUGGAUAUUUGCAUGUACCCUCUAAAUAAGCAUCGGCUAACUCAGUGCCAGCAGCCGCGGUAAUACGGAGGUGGCGAGCGUUAUCCGGGUUUAGUGGGGUUAAAGGGUGCGUAGGUUGUGUUUUAAGUCUGCGGUGAAAGUUUGUGGCCCAACCAUAUAACUGCCGUUGAAACUGGAGGACUUGAGUGUAGUAGAGGUAGGCGGAAUGCGUAGUGUAGCGGUGAAAUGCGUAGAUAGCAGGAAGAACACCGAUUGCGAAGGCGGCUUACUGGGCCAUAACUGACGCUGAGGCUCGAAAGCGUGGGGAGCAAACAGGAUUAGAUACCCUGGUAGUC
RNAcentral lists this ribosomal RNA (460 nucleotides) under uncultured bacterium. RNAcentral's name for it is "partial 16S ribosomal RNA". It matches the Rfam family "Bacterial small subunit ribosomal RNA", at positions 338 to 795 of the family's 1533-position model. The record is from RNAcentral.